RNAcentral lists this long non-coding RNA (832 nucleotides) under Chinchilla lanigera (long-tailed chinchilla). Its description in RNAcentral is "lncRNA (ENSCLAG00000022400.1)". Lineage: Eukaryota; Metazoa; Chordata; Mammalia; Rodentia; Chinchillidae. The record is from RNAcentral.
ACUUUGUUCAUUGUAGAGACACCACACCUGACAUCAGCACAUCAAGGAAGAGAGGUUUAAUUUGGGCUCACAUUUACAGGUCGUGGUCGGCUGGCUCCAAGGCAGGACUGCACGGUGCUCACCUCACAGAAGAGGAGCAGAGCGAGAAGGGAGAAGCAGGAGAGGGAGAUGGCCUUCCAGGUCACAGCCCGGCAACUGUGAUCUGCUAACCAGACCCCUCUCCCCGCCAACAUCACACUCAGCAGUAGAACCCAUGUAACUCAGUCACCUUCCACAAGCCCUACUCUGAGUGCAUGAGGCUUUGGGGGCACAUCCAGAUGUAAACCAUAGCAAGUGGAAAGCAUUGCUUCACCCUCCCUGGAAAGGACUGUAUUAAGCCCUGCUAACUAGGAACAGGGCUGUCAAGAACUAUAUUCUUAGAUCCUAAUCUUAACCCUUACCUCCCGCACUGAGCAGAUGUUAAUCCCACGCGCUGGAUAGAUUUUACUGUUAAUGUCUCUUCGUUCUAUUCCAUGUGUACUUGUAUGCCAUCCAGUGGUCUUCCCCAUUACGUCUUUGACAUAUAUCCAUCCUGCUGCCAUUAAGAAAAAAAACCCAGAAAAUCUCCAAAAUCUUGUUAUUUGUCAACCCACACACAGAAACAAUAGGACAGGUGUCCUGACCAUUGCAGGUAUUGGCAUGUGCAGGGCUGGAUAUUUUGCUGCCUUCUUCCUUCUGAACAUCCUGGCUGGGCAGAACAUAUGAAUAAUACAUGAAGACAUUCUCCAAAACAAUAAGAAGUAAAAUCCAUCUCGACUACCACCUCAAUUCUAAUCCUCUCUCUGGAGGUGGA